RNAcentral lists this ribosomal RNA (253 nucleotides) under uncultured bacterium. Its description in RNAcentral is "partial 16S ribosomal RNA". It matches the Rfam family "Bacterial small subunit ribosomal RNA", at positions 524 to 776 of the family's 1533-position model. The record is from RNAcentral.
UACAUGUGGGGCAAGCGUUGUUCGGAAUUACUGGGCAUAAAGGGUGCGUAGGUGGUUUGUUAAGUCAGGGGUGAAAUCCCGCGGCCCAACCGUGGAACUGCCUUUGAUACUGGCGAACUUGAGUGCGUGAGGGGUAGGGGGAACGAGCAGUGUAGCGUUGAAAUGCGUAGAUAUUGCUCGGAAGGCCAGAGCCGAAGGGGCCCUACUGGUGCGCAACUGACACUGAGGCACGAAAGCGUGGGGAGCAAACAGG